AAACCCGGUGCCGGAGAUGGCCGAACUGGGGCGGAGAUGGCCGAGCCCAGACGGAGAUGGCCGAGCCCAGACGGAGAUGGCCGAGCCUAGACGGAGAUGGCCGAGCUAGAACGGAGAUGGCCGAGCAGAGGCGGAGAUGAUCGAGCGAGGACGGAGAUGGACGAGCGUGUGAAGGCCGGUGGAGCCCGGCAGGGCCUGUGGCUCGUCCCUCAGAGCGCCCAUGGAAUGCAGAACUCGCACUUGGUGCCACAGAAGGGGCUCUGGGGAUCCCCAGGCUCAGCCACGAUAGCACAAAAUCGCAGGAUUGUGUGGGUCGAGAAAGACCUCACAGAUCAUGGAGUCCAACCUGUGACCGACCGAUCGCCACCGUGUCACUCGACCAGGCACUGAGUGCCACGUCCAGUCGGUCCUUGGACAUCUCCGAGCAUGGGAACUCUGCCAGCUCCCUGGGCAGCCCCUUCCAAUGUUUAACAACCCAUUCUGUGAAGAAAUUCCUCAUGAUGGCCUCGUAUCCAGGAGUAAAACUGGCAGAGCCGGGUGUCAGUACAAGGCAGGUAAUUUGCCAGUUACAACCUGGAUGUGUUUGAGAGUGCGAUAUCUGGCACACAGAGCUUUAGCAAAAGAAUGGAAUAAAGAUGCACAAGUAAACCUCAAUUUAUUAAAUAUACUGACCUAUCAAUAGCCA
Molecule: long non-coding RNA, 685 nt
Organism: Haemorhous mexicanus (house finch)
Lineage: Eukaryota; Metazoa; Chordata; Aves; Passeriformes; Fringillidae
Exons: 2
Source: RefSeq, a predicted model, not a curated record